RNAcentral lists this ribosomal RNA (522 nucleotides) under uncultured bacterium. RNAcentral describes it as "bacterial SSU rRNA". It matches the Rfam family "Bacterial small subunit ribosomal RNA", at positions 24 to 518 of the family's 1533-position model. The record is from RNAcentral.
UCAGGACGAACGCUGGCGGCGUGCCUAAUACAUGCAAGUCGAACGGUCUUUCUAUGGAAGCUUGCUUCCACUGAGAAGAUAGUGGCGAACGGGUGAGUAACACGUGGGUAACCUGCCCAUAAGAGGGGGAUAACAUCCGGAAACGGGUGCUAAUACCGCAUAGUUUUCUUGAUCGCAUGAUCGGGAAGGGAAAGACGGCCUUUGUGCUGUCGCUUAUGGAUGGACCCGCGGCGUAUUAGUUAGUUGGUGAGGUAACGGCUCACCAAGACGAUGAUACGUAGCCGACCUGAGAGGGUGAUCGGCCACAUUGGGACUGAGACACGGCCCAAACUCCUACGGGAGGCAGCAGUAGGGAAUCUUCCGCAAUGGACGAAAGUCUGACGGAGCAACGCCGCGUGAGUGAAGAAAAGGUUUUCGGAUCGUAAAACUCUGUUGUCAGAGAAGAACAAGUUGGAGAGUAACUGCUCCAGCCUUGACGGUAUCUGACCAGAAAGCCACGGCUAACUACGUGCCAGCAGCCGC